Long non-coding RNA from Drosophila suzukii, 949 nucleotides. RefSeq lists it as uncharacterized. The record is from RefSeq and is a predicted model, not a curated record. NCBI's taxonomy places the organism in Eukaryota, Metazoa, Arthropoda, Insecta, Diptera, Drosophilidae.
ACCAAUUUUUAACAAGAAUGGUUGCCAACUCCUUCCCAUUCAGACACGUUUUCUCCUAAAUUCAAAACUGGCUUACAACGUCAUUAAACUGACUUUCAAGUUCCACAUACGGUGCUUGAAACCGGACUCCGCGGUCAAGCUCUUCAAAUUCCACCCGCGGAGGAGGGUCGGUACUGAGGCCAAACUCCUGAUCCAGGUUUUCUCGCAACCGGAAUUUCGGAGUCCUGGGCAAUCCGACCGAUAUCCGUGGUGGUCCAGACCCGGCAGCGCUUCCUGUCAUGCUCGGGUUCCUGCCUUCUUACUACCCCACCCCCAGACCACCCCAUAUCCGAUGCAGUUGCACGAAACUUUCCGUUGCCCUGCAAUGCAUCGGUGAAGGGGGCUUCAAGAGGGGAACAAAAAAGGAAUUUUGCGAGACGCCAUCUCCUCGAUAUUUUAUAUUUUUUUAACUUGGGCGCCAUAAUGUUACGGAACUGCUCUAUUUUCGACCGGGACAGCACCUACCAGCUCCGGAAUUUCUGAGGGCAGAGUACCACCCAGCCACCCAUCAUCCACGGUCGAAAUCACUUUUGGCGGUCUACGGCCGCCCCAUCUUCCCAACAGGGACAGCUCACUCACACAUUUCGGUUAUUACAGACUUUUAAAUAACACGUCUUCAAGACCAAAACUUGGCCGCCGUCUUCAAUUUUACGCGGUCAAAGCAGAGAAUACGUUUUCCACUGGAAAAGGCUACAGGCGCCGCGAAAUAAAAUGCUUUACCAUUAAUGCAAUGGUCGAGCUCGUAUAAAAACACGGUUCACAACAAGGGAUACCCGCGAUGCGCGAAUAGGGUCACCUAAUCCUGAGGAGCUCCAGGGGAAAAGCUAACGACGAGGACAACAAGGUUCUCGGUUCUAAUUCCGGAUAAAUUUACAAAUAAAACAAGAAAGGAAGUUAACUGUGGCAAACC